This 1029-nucleotide long non-coding RNA is filed under the name Brassica rapa (field mustard). RNAcentral describes it as "long non-coding RNA (BRAP_LNC008987)". Lineage: Eukaryota; Viridiplantae; Streptophyta; Magnoliopsida; Brassicales; Brassicaceae. The record is from RNAcentral.
ACGGACAUCCUGUGUGUGCUGACGGACAGCUACAGACAGCCACGGACGUCCUGUGUGUGCUGGCGGACACCGACGGACGUCCUGUGCGUACUGAACAGGCAACCCACGUGGGCCAAAAUCACCAGAACAGUCCACGGGAAGGGUCAGCGUGCUGAGUCCAAGGACCAUCGUGUUGAUAUGUGUACUGAUGGAUAGCCACGGAAGUCUUGUGUGUGCUGACGGACACACACGGACACACAUGGGUAGCCACGGACGUCCUGUGUGUACUAAACAGGCAACCCACGUGGGCCAAAAUGACCAGAACAGUCCAUGGGAAGGGUCAGUGUAGAAACCCGUUAAAAAAAAAAAAAAAAAAGAAGAAAAGAAAAGAGAGAGAGAAUGGUCGAGUAUCUUUGUGGUUGAGUCGCGGGCAAUACAGAUCGAUCGGGAAAUUUGAAGUACGAGAAGGUCGAAGAAUGGAUCGUGAGUGAAGCAUGAGUUGAGACAAGCUGCUCUACCAUUGUUAGAAAUGUCUUAGAUUGAUCAUACGACAGUUUUGGAAGAAUUACAUUUUUGAAGCACGACGGUUUAGAAGCUCAACGUUUUGGAAGAUUGACGUUUCUUCAUCGCGAAGUUUUCUCAGAAUAACUUCGUAUCAGUAAAAUAUUAUUCUGAAGACAUUAUAAGUCGGAAGCAGGACGGGAAUUAAGCAGGACGGGAAGCAAGCACGACGGGAUUGAAGCACGACAGGAAAACCCGAACUUGGGCGAAAACCCUAAUUUCGGUAUUACAAAAUUUUUUGAGGAAGCCGGAGGCUCGGGAAAUAUUUUUAAAGGGAUAUCAGACAUCAUCUGUAGUUUAUUAAAAAUAUUCAGAGAAUCAGAAAGGGAGCGGAAAAAUAUUCGGGAUUGAUCGCGGGUCAGAAAUUCACAAGAAGGGUCGAAAUCGCGCAAAGGAACCGAGAAACUCGAGGUGGCUUGAUCAGAAGGGAUAUUAACGUGGUGGAAACUGUCUAACCAGCUGAGUGUUAAGAGAAGCUGGAGGUGUCGC